UGGCUCAGGGGUUAAGAGCACUGGCUGUUCUUCCAGAGGACCUGGGUUCAAUUCCCAG
This 58-nucleotide transfer RNA is filed under the name Cricetulus griseus (Chinese hamster). RNAcentral also lists the same sequence under 2 other names. The record is from Rfam by way of RNAcentral. Lineage: Eukaryota; Metazoa; Chordata; Mammalia; Rodentia; Cricetidae.